AAUUAACGCUGGCGGCAUGCCUAACACAUGCAAGUCGCACGAGAAAGCCUCCUUCGGGAGGCGAGUAAAGUGGCGCACGGGUGAGUAACGCGUGGAUAAUCUACCUCGUUCUGGGGGAUAACCCAUCGAAAGGUGGGCUAAUACCGCAUAAUCCGGCUAAUUUUUGGAUAGGUCGGCAAAGGUGGCCUCUUGAUCAAAGCUACCGGGAAGAGAUGAGUCCGCGUCCCAUUAGCUAGUUGGUAGGGUAAUGGCCUACCAAGGCGACGAUGGGUAGCUGGUCUGAGAGGACGAUCAGCCACACUGGAACUGGUACACGGUCCAGACUCCUACGGGUGGCAG
RNAcentral lists this ribosomal RNA (339 nucleotides) under uncultured Pseudomonadota bacterium. RNAcentral's name for it is "bacterial SSU rRNA". It matches the Rfam family "Bacterial small subunit ribosomal RNA", at positions 29 to 351 of the family's 1533-position model. Lineage: Bacteria; Pseudomonadati; Pseudomonadota. The record is from RNAcentral.